Molecule: long non-coding RNA, 717 nt
Filed under: Podarcis muralis (Common wall lizard)
Lineage: Eukaryota; Metazoa; Chordata; Lepidosauria; Squamata; Lacertidae
Description: lncRNA (ENSPMRG00000016398.1)
Source: RNAcentral
UUUUAUCCAGGGUGCGACUCCCCAACACCAUUCCAGAGGCCAGCUGUGUUUCUGGCAAUUUUUUACUCUCCUCUCCUCUCUCUUUCCCCAGGUGGCCGAGUUCCAGGGACGGGCAUCGGUGGCGCUGGUGUCCCAGGGGUUGGGCCAGGUGGCGUAGUUCCUGGCGCCACACCUGGUGUUAUUGGAGUCGGCCCAGGAGGAACUGGGGUAGGAGGAGUGAGUCCCGCCGCAGCGGCAAAAGCAGCAAAGUAUGGUCUUAUUCCUGGUGCUGGCGUUGGUGGAGUUCCUGGUGCUGGUGUUGGUGGAGUUCCUGGUGCUGGUGUUGGUGGAGUUCCUGGCGCUGGAGUUGGUGGCGUUCCUGGUGCUGGUGUCGGUGGAGUUCCCGGUGCUGGAGUUGCUGUUCCAGGAGCUGGAGUGUCUGCAGCAGCGGCAGCAAAGGCAGCGGCAAAGGCAGCCGCCUACGGGGCUGGUGUGGUGCCUGGCUAUGGCGCCAUUGGUGGUGUGGCACCUGGUAGAGUCGUACCUGGUGGAGUCGCACCUGGUGGAGUUGUACCUGGUGGAGUCGCACCUGGUGGGUUAGGUAGGUUCCCCCCUCUGUGGGAAGUCAAUGCCUUCUCAAGGCAACAGAGCGGCUCGUCCCGAAACCUUGGUCUUUGCAAUAACAUGGAGGCUGCUCCUGCUCUGUGGAACAACAUCAAGAUGUGACAGACACCCGCU